UUCUAAUUCCCUUCCUCCCAAAACCUAACAUUGUGACACUUGUCCCUUUGCAGCUCCAAAAUUUGUAGAUGAUUAGGUCAUAUUUCUAAGUCUAGAGUUUCAAAGGAUUAGGGAAUUUAUGCAGCUGGAGCUGCUAUAAAAUAUCUCCAGCACAACCCAAAUCUUCCCUGCUAUUGCCAUUCUAUUUCUAUUUCAUUCUCUUGGGGUAUGCGCAAAGCUUGAGUACUAGAGCUACCCUUACCUUAUUGGUUUUACUAUCAUUGAGUCAUUUUAGCUUAUUACUACCUAUGAUUCUUAUUGUUGGAAAGUAAAGGAGUUGUGUAGCAGAGAAAGCUAAAGCAAAUGAGUAGAUGGGGACCAAAGGCAGGACAAAUUAAUUGCUUUCAGUUUUUGUUCAUUCCAGCUUAUAUUAAAAUAUAUGGUUGGUGGCUUGCAGAUUGCAGAUACAGUACACUUUUUUAAGCAAUCAUUCACCAAUGGGCCACCGUAACUCUUCUCUACUGUACUGCUACCUUCUUUGUAGAAUUUUGACGUGCGUAAGUUCACUCGAACCUACAUUAACCAUUAUAUUUAUAAGGAAAAUAUAUUCAGAAUUAAUUGUUAGAUAAUCAUAACUAUAUAAAAAGAAAAGAGAGAUAGGGAGAGAGAAGCAUAUAUGGAAGUUUCUUAUAUCAAACUGUGCAAGUAAUUCUGUUUGCUGUAAUCUAUUCAUUUGUCUUUGAGUAUAUAAUCAACCAAAAAAGAAAAAGAAAAGUUUGUUUUCUGCUUGUAUAUAUUUCAAGGGAUGGAUCAAUAUGAAAAGACUCCAAUGCAAUCGAAGACAUUAACAUGCCAUGUUAUGGUCAAUGAUUGUCAUACAAAAGCAUCCUUGUGGGGAACCAUUAGUGUCUCCUAUGGAAGAAAUUAUAUAGUAGAAAUAUUAUUUUAUAUAAAAUUAAAGUCUAAUUAUAUUGAAAAUUCUAAUUUUUUUAUGAUUAAUUUAAUUAUUUAAUUUUAGCAUAAUUAUCAAUUUUUUAUAUUUAAAAAAAAUUAUUUAAAUAUGAAAUUAAAUUUAAAAAAGUGUGCUUUAUUAACGUGACAUGUCAGGUGAUAUUUUUUAUUAUUAAAUAGUGAAAUCUCCCUCUCUUUAAUAUAAUCUUUUAAUUUUGACAUAAUCGGCCAAUUUUUCAAAAGUAAAAAAAAAUUUAUCUAAAUUUGAAAUGAAGAAAGUGUAUGUGAGAUGUUAAGUGAUAAUUUUUAUUAUUAAAUUGUGAAAUCUCACAUACCAUAUCACUUAAAAUAAAAAAAAAAGUUCUCUCUCUCUAAGAGGUUUCUUUAUUACCUCUUUGCUGUUCUAACAAAGAGUUUUGUUCCUGGGUUUGGCAAAUGAAGAAGACCUAUAAUUAUAGGUAAUCUGGUUAAGAACUACCAGUAAUGACAACAACAAAUAACUCAGUUUUGAAGCACGACAGGCAAUAACUUUAAUUUGGAGUCUCUCCCAAAACCUCAAAUCAUUUACUUCUGCAAAAAAUGUCGGAAAAUUGUUGCAUAAACGGAGAAUAUAGAUCCCCAUGAGGGUGGAAAAGGAUAACAAUGCUUUAAAUGGAAAAAAAGGGUGGCAAAAAGGAAGCAGCUGAAUGCUCUUCCAUAUUUGUU
This 1635-nucleotide unclassified non-coding RNA is filed under the name Hevea brasiliensis (rubber tree). Lineage: Eukaryota; Viridiplantae; Streptophyta; Magnoliopsida; Malpighiales; Euphorbiaceae. The record is from RNAcentral.